GGGUUGUGAGGUUAAGCGACUAAGCGUACACGGUGGAUGCCCUGGCAGUCAGAGGCGAUGAAGGGCGUGCUAAUCUGCGAUAAGCGCCGGUAAGGUGAUAUGAACCGUUAUAACCGGCGAUACCCGAAUGGGGAAACCCAGUGUGAUUCGUCACACUAUCAUUAACUGAAUCCAUAGGUUAAUGAGGCGAACCGGGGGAACUGAAACAUCUAAGUACCCCGAGGAAAAGAAAUCAACCGAGAUUCCCCCAGUAGCGGCGAGCGAACGGGGAGGAGCCCAGAGCCUGAAUCAGCAUGUGUGUUAGUGGAAGCGUCUGGAAAGGUGCGCGAUACAGGGUGACAGCCCCGUACACAAAAGCGCAUGUGCUGUGAGCUCGAUGAGUAGGGCGGGACACGUGAUAUCCUGUCUGAAUAUGGGGGGACCAUCCUCCAAGGCUAAAUACUCCUGACUGACCGAUAGUGAACCAGUACCGUGAGGGAAAGGCGAAAAGAACCCCGGCGAGGGGAGUGAAAAAGAACCUGAAACCGUGUACGUACAAGCAGUGGGAGCACAGGUUUACCUGUGUGACUGCGUACCUUUUGUAUAAUGGGUCAGCGACUUAUAUUCUGUAGCAAGGUUAACCGUAUAGGGGAGCCGUAGGGAAACCGAGUCUUAACCGGGCGUUAAGUUGCAGGGUAUAGACCCGAAACCCGGUGAUCUAGCCAUGGGCAGGUUGAAGGUUGGGUAACACUAACUGGAGGACCGAACCGACUAAUGUUGAAAAAUUAGCGGAUGACCUGUGGCUGGGGGUGAAAGGCCAAUCAAACCGGGAGAUAGCUGGUUCUCCCCGAAAGCUAUUUAGGUAGCGCCUCGUGAAUUCAUCUCCGGGGGUAGAGCACUGUUUCGGCUAGGGGGCCAUCCCGGCUUACCAACCCGAUGCAAACUGCGAAUACCGGAGAAUGUUAUCACGGGAGACACACGGCGGGUGCUAACGUCCGUCGUGAAGAGGGAAACAACCCAGACCGCCAGCUAAGGUCCCAAAGUCAUGGUUAAGUGGGAAACGAUGUGGGAAGGCCCAGACAGCCAGGAUGUUGGCUUAGAAGCAGCCAUCAUUUAAAGAAAGCGUAAUAGCUCACUGGUCGAGUCGGCCUGCGCGGAAGAUGUAACGGGGCUAAACCAUGCACCGAAGCUGCGGCAGCGAACGUAUCACCCAAGACAACUUUACGGAGUUGACGAUUGACGGAGCGAAGCGACGUCAAAGCGUUCAUUAAAGUCGAGUUGGCUUAGGGAUACGUUCGUUGGGUAGGGGAGCGUUCUGUAAGCCUGUGAAGGUGUGUCGUGAGGCAUGCUGGAGGUAUCAGAAGUGCGAAUGCUGACAUAAGUAACGAUAAAGCGGGUGAAAAGCCCGCUCGCCGGAAGACCAAGGGUUCCUGUCCAACGUUAAUCGGGGCAGGGUGAGUCGACCCCUAAGGCGAGGCCGAAAGGCGUAGUCGAUGG
This 1476-nucleotide ribosomal RNA is filed under the name Salmonella enterica subsp. enterica serovar Typhimurium. Its description in RNAcentral is "bacterial LSU rRNA". It matches the Rfam family "Bacterial large subunit ribosomal RNA", at positions 1 to 1421 of the family's 2925-position model. The record is from RNAcentral. Lineage: Bacteria; Pseudomonadati; Pseudomonadota; Gammaproteobacteria; Enterobacterales; Enterobacteriaceae.